AACGUGCUACUAUCACCCAUGCUACAAAAAAUCCACCCAAGAUCCAUAUCCAGAUCCCCUCCACCCCGGCCUCCCUUCCACCCCCUCUCUCUCUCCCACGCGACUCCCCUCACCGCUGCCGUCUUCGGCUCCAGCCGCGAUUCCGGCAAGUUCCGGCAGCGCGCAACACACCGUCGAGACCUCCUCGCUCCGGCGCUUCCUCCUCUCCGGGCAGAUUAGCUUGCUUAAUCGCAACCCCACCCCCGUGGCUAGGGUUGGGUUGCAGGAGGGGCCUUCUUCCUCACCGGCCGGCUCGAGCUGGCCAGAUCCACGGCGUCGUGCCCCUCCAUGACCUCAAACCCUCAGGAUACACAGGCGCUCGCAACCAUGGAAUGGAUGGAUCCAUGGGACUAGGCCGACGCCAUGGAAGGGAAUGAAGGGCCACCAACAGCAACUCCCUCUGGUCUUCUCCCACCAUGGAAGGUAUCACCCAUGCUUGUCCACGCUCAUCCAUGCCACAUUCCAAGCAUUGCUGCAACUUACAUCUUCAGACCAGACACAAUUCUCAAGCUUUUGUUCCUUCUUCGGGAAACUGCACAUUCAUCUCCAGCUUGUUGAUACUAACUCGAUAAUGUUGCUAUCCUCAAGCAUACAUGGAAGCCACCGCCACUACUCCGACCCUACUGCCAACGCCCCAUGGAGACUCUGCUCUCUCUCGUGUCCUGCCUGUGUGUCCUGACCAUCAAACCAAUUACCCCGAGGUGUUGCUUCUUUUCACUAGUGCAGCAGCUUGUGUGCGUGUGCGUCUAGUAUGAGCGAGAUUCGACAGCACAAGAUGAGCUCUUGUAGCGAUGAUUGAUUCUCUAUUGUUCACACAAGUCCAUGCCAAUUUUGUCUUGUCUUGACACUUUACUUUCGGUUUUGCAAUAGGGAAGACAUUGAUUUGAUUUGGGGGGAGGUGACGUACACCAAAUAGAAAUUCAGAGUUGUAGAUGUUCAUGAGAAGAUGUCAUUGCUGACCUUAGUCAAUUUUAAUUUGUUCCCGAGACUAGCAAUCAAGUAAAAUCCCUUCAUUACAAACUAAUUGAAGUUCAAUACAAAAAAAUCAAUUGAAGUUCUAACAUUGUGCUAAGUCAACCUUCUUCAAGUUUGACCAAGUAUAUAAAAACUAUUUCAACAUCUACAACACCAAUUUAUUUUCAUCAUAACAUUGAUCCCGUGUUAAUUAUCCCCAUAUAUGUGUCCGAUGGCAAGUUGCGGUCAUGUACAUGCUAGCUAUUCGCGAGCUUAGACUGCGCUUAUUGGUCGGCAUUCCCUAAAAAAAUUGGUGUUUUCUUCGUACAUCGCUUCGUUUGGUGUUUGCUUCUAUAAAUUUGAAAUUGAAGAAAUUCAAAUCUGGGUUAGUAAGUCUUGGGAGGAUGUCUUGCUACAUGCUCUAGAUUCAGUCCAAUACUGGUUGUACAGUUAGCUUCCCUCGAAAUACAUGAUUCGUAUUGCGUUAAUAAUCUGGAGCUAGUUGUAUUUUUAAUUCACUAGCCUUUUACUUAUACAUGAGAGAAGUGAGAAGCUAAGUCAAUAGGAGCUAAACUCAACCCUUGGCUUGUUACGUGAGCUCAAACUAGUGACUAGUGAGUGUUUCAUGUAGUGAACUUGAUUUUCUGGUGUUUUUGUAACAUCCAUGUAAGGUGCAUAGCAGCCCUAUUUUGUGCUAGAUCCUUUGUUUAACCAAAUCAGUUAGGGAUGAUAGCCCAUUCAUGAGCAAUAUUGCGAGAUGUUGGUUGCCUUUUAGAGAAAAUCUGGAGCGUGGGGUGACUCUAGCAAUAAACUGAACUUGGUUCAGUUAAAACCUACACUCUCAAAUUUGGACAGCAAGCUUAUAUCUGAAAAAAGAGUUAGCUAGUCUCAUAAUUUUGAGUUGGCCCCUUUACAUAAGUUUUAAUAAAGAUCCAAGGUUUCUUUAGAGUAUUUAUUUGUGUCGUUUGGAUGUACGGUUUGAUAGCAGCCAUCAGUUUAGUUUACUGUCCUGAAAUAUAUGUUCCUGGGUACAGUAUUUUGAUAUGGGAGAUUAGGACCUGUUAGAAGUGGUAUUAAAAUAAAGUUACAACAUGGAUAUUUUAGAGGCUGUUCUGUAGACACUUAAACACAUAUCAUUUGUCAGGUUUGGUUUGGUAUAUUAAAUCCUACGAAAUUAUCAAUGUGGGUUGUACUAUGUUGGACAAAAUUUUAUGUUUGGACUUGGGUGAAUGUAACCAGACUUAUACUCUCAGAUUUUGUUAUGGUUGAUGGUGUGAGGACUUAUAAUGUGAUAAAGUAUAUACUUUGUUGCAAAACCAAAAUCAGUGAAAUAUAUUGCCUUUUUUGCAGCUGAUGACAUCUCCUGGAAUCUUUACUCCAUAAAGUUCAUUGAUGACAGCCAAGGUUUCAUGCUCCGAAGUGACUAGAUCUUUCUCCAUGUUGUCGACUCACCCAGAGUCCUUAAUCAUGAGGAGAUGGGACACGUCGAUUGUUAGAGUACACUUGACAGGUGCAUUUUGUGAAAUUCUGGCGUGAAGAUUGAUAGCAUGCUUGCCUGCUUGUUCUUUUCAGGGGUGAUCAACACUGACUAGCACGGCCGGUGGGUGCUAUGCUCAUCAAGUACUCGGAGGAAGACUUCUCGGUGAAGCCGGCGGCCAUGUCCCGUAGAUGAUUGUCCAGGUGAUUUCAACGCCGGAGGUCGCCGAGGUGCAGGACCUCAACGCCACCGUCCGGGGGGAGGGAGGAUUCGUGUCCACCGGCGUCUAAGCUCCGAGCCUUGGUAGAUACAUCCAGGGAAGUGGUCUGUUUAGGUUGGUAAUGGAACACCAAGGAAGGUACCCACCUUUUGUAACACCCACGAUGCGGCUAUAUCUCCCACAAGUCGGAGCAUGACUUAGAGGCAUAACCGCAUAGUAGGCAUGUCACAAGAGGGGUAAUCUUUACACAUCCCAUGUAUUUAAUAAGAAAGGGA
Non-coding RNA from Triticum urartu, 2965 nucleotides. The record is from RefSeq and is a predicted model, not a curated record. NCBI's taxonomy places the organism in Eukaryota, Viridiplantae, Streptophyta, Magnoliopsida, Poales, Poaceae.